GACGAACGCUGGCGGCGUGCCUAAUACAUGCAAGUCGAGCGGAUUUUCUGGAGCUUGCUCCAGAAAAUUAGCGGCGGACGGGUGAGUAACACGUGGGCAAUCUGCCCGUAAGACUGGGAUAACUCCGGGAAACCGGGGCUAAUACCGGAUAACCCUGACUCUCUCCUGAGAGUCAGUUGAAAGAUGGUUUCGGCUAUCACUUACGGAUGAGCCCGCGGCGCAUUAGCUAGUUGGUGAGGUAACGGCUCACCAAGGCGACGAUGCGUAGCCGACCUGAGAGGGUGAUCGGCCACACUGGGACUGAGACACGGCCCAGACUCCUACGGGAGGCAGCAGUAGGGAAUCUUCCGCAAUGGACGAAAGUCUGACGGAGCAACGCCGCGUGAGUGAAGAAGGUUUUCGGAUCGUAAAACUCUGUUGUCAGGGAAGAACACGUACGAGAGUAACUGCUCGUACCUUGACGGUACCUGACCAGAAAGCCACGGCUAACUACGUGCCAGCCGCCGCCGUAAUAC
RNAcentral lists this ribosomal RNA (515 nucleotides) under uncultured bacterium. RNAcentral's name for it is "bacterial SSU rRNA". It matches the Rfam family "Bacterial small subunit ribosomal RNA", at positions 28 to 526 of the family's 1533-position model. The record is from RNAcentral.